UUGUUUAACCAUCAGCCAGAACAAGCAUCAGGGUCACAUCAAUUGCAGUUAAACACUAAUUAAAUCAAUAACCAAUAUAUUAUUUCAAGUGUGCACAAAAU
Non-coding RNA from Chiloscyllium plagiosum (whitespotted bambooshark), 101 nucleotides. The record is from RefSeq and is a predicted model, not a curated record. Lineage: Eukaryota; Metazoa; Chordata; Chondrichthyes; Orectolobiformes; Hemiscylliidae.